This is an RNA transcript of Solea senegalensis (Senegalese sole), 1797 nucleotides long. It is a transcript of the gene named fibronectin type III and SPRY domain containing 1-like, with no coding region annotated. The record is from RefSeq and is a predicted model, not a curated record. Lineage: Eukaryota; Metazoa; Chordata; Actinopteri; Pleuronectiformes; Soleidae. The transcript has 14 exons.
ACGUGAACUGAGCCUGUGACGUAUGACUUUACUUCCGGACUGUGCCCCCCGUCUCUCUCUGAUCAUGGACAGUCAAAAGGAAGCUCUUCGCAGGAUCAUUAGCACGUUAGCCAAUAAAAAUGAAGAGCUGCAGAACUUCCUGGAAACGGUUGACAACACAUUGGUGGGACUACAGAGGGAGUCCUGCAAGGUGAUGACAGACCUGGAGGAGGAGCUUGAGUUGCUGAGCUCCGCUGUCCACGAGAGAGGUGAGGAGCUUCGUGACAUCAUCAGAGAAGAAAAGCACAGAAAGGAGGCGGAGCUUCAGGAGCAGCUGUCAGAGGGAAAGGUCGCUCUGCAGUCGUGUGAGCAGCUGCUGGAGUUUGCAAACAAAACACUCGGCAUCACCACCGAAGAAGAAUUCCUCACGGCUGCAAAACAAAUCAAAGAACGGGUAACAAUGGCGCCAGCGUUUCGGCUGACGACUCGUCCGGCUGUGUCCGAAAACAUGGCGCAGUUCACUGUCGACUUCAGCGCAGAGAGGGCGGGGCUUCAGCGACUUGAAUUCCUGCCAGUUCCCAGACCUCCAGAGAUCGACGUCUCCAGAUGUGUCGUUUGUGACAACAACGUCACCGUUGCCUGGCGACCGGCUGACGAGGGUGACAACGAUGACUUCACCGGACCAAUCAAAAGCUACGAACUCGAAUAUCGUAAAGCGAGCCAUGACAGCUCGGCGAGAGCUGCAGCGGAGGCAUGCUGGGAAAAAAUCUGUGACAUCAGAGAUUCCCAGGUCACCAUCUCAGAUCUGAAGUUUGAUUCCCGCUUCAUCAUGUUUCGCGUGCGAGCAAAAAACAAAGCGGCUGCCGGAGAAUUCUCUGAGCCUGUCGCCAUGGAAACCAGAGCAUUUAACUUCGGCUUCGACGCGGCAACGGCUCACGCUGAGCUGAAGGUUCACGGCGACACGGUGACCUGGGAGCCUCAGCGGGUCAAAGGUCACGACCCCAGACUCAGAGCCAAAGACUGCAAAAGCAGUCUCCGUACUGCGUCCUCUUCGACAAACUCAGCAGAAGUGCAACACCGUCGCCCAAUAAGGCAGGGAACCGAACGGGUCGCGACAGAUUUGCCGGAGAGUCGUACACAGUGCUGGGUGACCAGGAGAUGGCUGGCGGCUGCCACUACUGGGAACUCCGCCUCUUGGCCGACUGGAAGUCGUUCAGUGUGGGCGUGGCUUAUCGGUCCAGCCUGGGCCGCUUUGACCAAUUAGGAAAGAGCGCCGGUUCGUGGUGCAUUCACGCGAGCCAGUGGCUGCAGAACUCAUUAGCAGCCAAACACAACAACCGAGCGAGGGCGCUGGAUUGGCUGCUGCCUCAGCGAAUCGGAAUCUACUGUGACUACGACAAUGGUGAUUUAUGUUUCAUCGACGUCGAUCAACGUCGGCUUCUACACUCCUUCAAAACAAAAUUCAGCCAGCCGCUCGUCCCCGCCUUCACUGUGUGGUGUGGCGGUAUCACCGUGGUGACGGGUCUUCAGGUGCCGAGCUUCAUAGACAGUUUCCUCUCCACCAGUCGGAGCCUGAGCGACUUGUCCCAGUAGAUGUUUCAUGUGAUCAGUGAUUAAAAGUUUAUUUAUGAGUAAAAUGUAACGCGUAGAAUUUAUUUAUCAUGAAAUGUUUAUUUGAAAAAUAUGAUUUUUAAAACCUCAUUGAUUGUUUUAGUAUUUCUGAUGAUUAUGUUUCUAUUUAUUAAUGAUAAAGUGUGACACAUGAAUAACACUAUUUAUCAUUAAAAAUCUAUUUAAAAUUACAUUUUUUUUUUUUUU